This 219-nucleotide long non-coding RNA is filed under the name Elaeis guineensis (African oil palm). RNAcentral's name for it is "long non-coding RNA (EGUI_LNC061354)". The record is from RNAcentral. Lineage: Eukaryota; Viridiplantae; Streptophyta; Magnoliopsida; Arecales; Arecaceae.
UCUCUCAGCUCCAAGGUAGUGAGCCUCUCUGAUAUAGAUCUCAUCUCAGUCUGAAUGCUUUCUACCUUCUCAAACAAAGCCCAUAUCUCUUCACUAACUCUAGCUGAAAUCAGAUCAGCCAGUCUCUCCAAGAAUGCUGAAUCAAUAGCUGCUGGCUGAGGAACAAAAGUUGUAGGAGGUGUGAACUGAGGUGUGGCUGGUGAAGUAGGAUCUGGGGCA